ACAGCAUUCAACAGGGAGGGCAGGAACUUUCUUCCUGAGUCUUUGUUUUUCUUUUUACUAAUGAGGUAGGACUUUCCUGGAAGAUCCCAGUAGACUUCACAGCAGGUGGUGACUGCAUUCUGGUAAACGAAUGAGCUAAAUGCAUACCCCAGUUCACCAGUUCUGGGGCACCAGUUCCUUGGAGCAGGGAUGCUUGAAGAUGGAAAGAAAUUUGAUUCCUCCCGGGACAGAAACAAGCCCUUUAAGUUUAUGCUAGGCAAGCAGGAGGUGAUCCGAGGCUGGGAAGAAGGGGUUGCCCAGAUGAGUGUGGGUCAGAGAGCCAAACUGACUAUAUCUCCAGAUUAUGCCUAUGGUGCCACUGGGCACCCAGGCAUCAUCCCACCACAUGCCACUCUCGUCUUCGAUGUGGAGCUUCUAAAACUGGAAUGACAGGAAUGGCCUCCUCCCUCAGCUCCCUGUUCUUGGAUCUGCCAUGGAGGGAUCUGGUGCCUCCAGACGUGUGCACAUGAAUCCAUAUGGAGCUUUUCCUGAUGUUCCACUCCACUUUGUAU
RNAcentral lists this small RNA (551 nucleotides) under Pan troglodytes (chimpanzee). RNAcentral's name for it is "processed transcript". Lineage: Eukaryota; Metazoa; Chordata; Mammalia; Primates; Hominidae. The record is from RNAcentral.